Molecule: long non-coding RNA, 1066 nt
Filed under: Trifolium pratense (red clover)
Lineage: Eukaryota; Viridiplantae; Streptophyta; Magnoliopsida; Fabales; Fabaceae
Description: long non-coding RNA (TPRA_LNC002818)
Source: RNAcentral
UUUUGCUCCAAAGUUCCAAUCUUCAAUCCAAAGCUUCUCCAAUUUUCCACUCUCAGCCGUGUGUUCAAACAGAAAAAGAACGUUUCCUAUUUAUAGCUUUGUUAUGCCGCCUCUGUUUCCAUUUUAAUUCCUUCGUCAGUAAGUCCUGAUCUCUUCUUCUCAUCACCGCCUUCAGCACUUGUGUUCCAAUUGUGUUGCAACUUGAAGCAAGAUAGACAAAAUCAAUAACUCUCCUUUUUUUCAAUCUCUGAGACCGCCAAACAAUCUCUCAUAGCUAGCUGUAUUCCUCUUUCCUUUCAACUUGGACAAGCUUCUUUCUUUUCAUUGGGCCUUCGUGUGCCUUUCUUUUGGUCCAUUCAUAUCUACAUAAAUAAUAUAAUAAUAUUAAGUAAUAUAUUAGUAUUAAUAAUAUAUGGUAUAUAUAAUAAUAGUUAGUAAUAAUAAAUACUUAAGUGAAGCUGGUAAUUUAUAUAAUAAUAAGUAAUUAUUAUUCUAAAAUACCACAAAAAUAUCUACAUAUAAUACACUAAAUUGGAGUUUAUCAUAUCACGUACCCAAUUGUCACUCCAAAACCGCGUAUUAGCACCAUCCCCAACCUUACGCUCUAAGACUUCUUCCAACCAAACUUUGCCUUCCACACAAUCAUCAAGAUCUCGCCAAGUCCCUCCACCAACGGGAGAAGCAAAAUUAUACUAUAUAUGAUAUAUGAUAAAUACAAAAAUACAUCAACUUAUAAGCAAUCAAAUAAUGACGAAUUUAAUAUUAAAAAAUUGAGAUAUUAGUAUAUACUACAUAUAUAUAAAAAAAAAAAUUGAAAGACAACUUUUUUUAAGACAAUUUGAAGAAAACUUAAUAUCCUCACUUUUUUAUGCAGGAAAAGAUUAGUCAAGGUUCGGCUGAAAAUUCUCAAUCAUGACUCCCAUUAUAUAAAGGGAUUGACGUUAACUGACAUCCAACACAGUAUAAAUAUGUGAUUUGAAUUCAAUUUAGAUUUUUUAGUAAUUAUUUUCUAUCACUUCCGAUGAAAAACAAAUUUUCUAUCAGUUUUCAGAUAAAAAACAAAUUA